RNAcentral lists this ribosomal RNA (233 nucleotides) under uncultured bacterium. Its description in RNAcentral is "partial 16S ribosomal RNA". It matches the Rfam family "Bacterial small subunit ribosomal RNA", at positions 15 to 244 of the family's 1533-position model. The record is from RNAcentral.
GAUCUGGCUCAGGACGAACGCUGGCGGCGCGCCUAACACAUGCAAGUCGAACGAGAGAUGAAGAGCUUGCUCUUCAAAUCGAGUGGCGAACGGGUGAGUAACGCGUGAGGAACCUGCCUCAAAGAGGGGGACAACAGUUGGAAACGACUGCUAAUACCGCAUAAGCCCACGGCUCGGCAUCGAGCAGAGGGAAAAGGAGCAAUCCGCUUUGAGAUGGCCUCGCGUCCGAUUAG